GACGAACGCUGGCGGCGUGCCUAAUACAUGCAAGUAGAGCGCUGAAGGAGGAGCUUGCUUCUCUGGAUGAGUUGCGAACGGGUGAGUAACGCGUAGGUAACCUGCCUGGUAGCGGGGGAUAACCAUUGGAAACGAUAGCUAAUACCGCAUAAUAGUAGAUGUUGCAUGACAUUUGCUUAAAAGGUUCAAUUGCAUCACUACCAGAUGGACAUGCGUUGUAUUAGCUAGGUGGUGGGGUAACGGCUCACCAAGGCGACGAUGCAUAGGCGACCUGAAAGGGGAAGAGACCAAGCUGGGACGGGAGCACGGCCCAGAAUCCUGCGGGAGGGAGCAGGAGGGAAUCUUUGGGAAUGGACGGAAGGCUGAACGUUGGACGCCGGGUGAGUGAAGGAGGUUUUAGGGUCGUGAAACUCUGUUAUGAGAGAAGGUCGUGUAGGAGAGUGAAAAGUUCACGUUGUGACGGUAUCUGAAGAAAAAGCUACGGCUAACUACGUG
RNAcentral lists this ribosomal RNA (495 nucleotides) under uncultured bacterium. RNAcentral describes it as "partial 16S ribosomal RNA". It matches the Rfam family "Bacterial small subunit ribosomal RNA", at positions 28 to 507 of the family's 1533-position model. The record is from RNAcentral.